CUUUCWGUGAUGGAUGUCUUGGCUCGAACAACGAUGAAGGGCGCAGUGAAGUGCGAUGAGCACUGUGAAUUGCAGGAUUCCGCGAGCCAGCAARGACUUGAWCGUGCYCUGCGCUUUCGGGAUAUCCCUGGGAGCAUGCUUGCAUCAGUGUCU
This 153-nucleotide ribosomal RNA is filed under the name Prorocentrum leve. RNAcentral describes it as "5.8S ribosomal RNA". It matches the Rfam family "5.8S ribosomal RNA". From Rfam's summary of the family: 5.8S ribosomal RNA (5.8S rRNA) is a component of the large subunit of the eukaryotic ribosome. It is transcribed by RNA polymerase I as part of the 45S precursor that also contains 18S and 28S rRNA. The record is from RNAcentral. Lineage: Eukaryota; Dinophyceae; Prorocentrales; Prorocentraceae.